RNAcentral lists this ribosomal RNA (253 nucleotides) under uncultured bacterium. RNAcentral describes it as "partial 16S ribosomal RNA". It matches the Rfam family "Bacterial small subunit ribosomal RNA", at positions 524 to 776 of the family's 1533-position model. The record is from RNAcentral.
UACGUAGGGGGCUAGCGUUGUCCGGAUUUAUUGGGCGUAAAGAGCGUGUAGGCGGCCAGGUAGGUCUGCUGUGAAAACUCGAGGCUCAACCUCGAGACGUCGGCGGAAACCAUCUGGCUAGAGUCCGGAAGAGGAGAGUGGAAUUCCUGGUGUAGCGGUGAAAUGCGCAGAUAUCAGGAGGAACACCAAUGGCGAAGGCAGCUCGCUGGGACGUUACUGACGCUGAGACGCGAAAGCGUGGGGAGCAAACAGG